CCUACGGGAGGCAGCAGUGGGGAAUCUUGCACAAUGGAGGAAACUCUGAUGCAGCGAUGCCGCGUGAGUGAGGAAGGCCUUUGGGUUGUAAAGCUCUUUUGUAGGGGAAGAUAAUGACUGUACCCUAAGAAUAAGGUCCGGCUAACUUCGUGCCAGCAGCCGCGGUAAUACGAAGGGACCUAGCGUAGUUCGGAAUUACUGGGCGUAAAGCGCGCGUAGGCCGUUGAGUUAGUUAAUUGUGAAAUCCCAAAGCUUAACUUUGGAACUGCAAUUAAAACUGCUCGACUAGAGUUUGAUAGAGGAAAGCGGAAUACAUAGUGUAGAGGUGAAAUUCGUAGAUAUUAUGUAGAACACCAGUUGCGAAGGCGGCUUUCUGGAUCAACACUGACGCUGAGGCGCGAAAGUAUGGGUAGCAAAGAGGAUUAGAUACCCUCGUAGUCCAUACCAUAAACGAUGGUUGCUAGAUGUUGGAAAUUUAUUUCAGUAUCGCAGCUAACGCAUUAAGCAAUCCGCCUGGGGAGUACGACCGCAAGGUUAAAACUUAAAGGAAUUGACGG
Molecule: ribosomal RNA, 557 nt
Filed under: uncultured bacterium
Lineage: Bacteria
Description: bacterial SSU rRNA
Rfam family: Bacterial small subunit ribosomal RNA
Source: RNAcentral